CACAGAUUGUUUCCAAAAUGGUUAACCUAGUAUUCAACUCCAGUCAGUUUCCUAGUAUAAAAGUAAGCAGCAUAUGGAGGGAUGCAAUAGCAGUAUGUGUGAUUACCGGUUUUGUGUGUUUCAUUUUGUAUCAGUUACUUCUACAGUGGCGAGACGAGAAAGAAUUCGAUUUGUUUAUGGGGAGCUGCAGAGAUGACCAUGACAGAGUAAUGCAAAUUCCUAAGUUUU
This is a long non-coding RNA of Mytilus californianus (California mussel), 228 nucleotides long. RefSeq lists it as uncharacterized. Lineage: Eukaryota; Metazoa; Mollusca; Bivalvia; Mytilida; Mytilidae. The record is from RefSeq and is a predicted model, not a curated record. The transcript has 3 exons.